Molecule: unclassified non-coding RNA, 324 nt
Filed under: Hevea brasiliensis (rubber tree)
Lineage: Eukaryota; Viridiplantae; Streptophyta; Magnoliopsida; Malpighiales; Euphorbiaceae
Source: RNAcentral
GAAAAUCACACUGUUCCUGCUCCUGCACCAUCACCUUCUGUUGCUGAUAUUUCAGGAGUUGAGGAGAAUCAUAAGAGUCAUGCUAUUUACUGGUGGAUAAUUGGGGGUUUGGGUGCUGGUCUUCUCCUGAUUGUCGUCAUUCUUGCUUUUGUUGUCUGUUGGUCGUCAAGUUGUUUUUCCAGAACUGAGAGAAGUCAUACAGCAGGUUCAAAUGAAAAGAUUUCUCACAAGUUCCAGAUACUUCGAAAUACAAGUUUCUGUUGUGCCUCAGGAAGGUACAUUUGCGGUAACUCAGGGGACCUGCAAGAACCGAAUGGAGAAUCU